Molecule: long non-coding RNA, 282 nt
Filed under: Vigna radiata
Lineage: Eukaryota; Viridiplantae; Streptophyta; Magnoliopsida; Fabales; Fabaceae
Description: long non-coding RNA (VRAD_LNC017475)
Source: RNAcentral
AAGGUAUAGGUUAAAUUUUUUUCUUUUUCCUUUGAUAUAGGUUAGCAUGUUUUUUUGUAGUAGAAAUUUGAGGUAAUUUUUUUUUUCUGAGUUGUGUUCAUUUUAGGUCUGUAUGUUUGUAAAUAUUUAGCUCAUAGGUAGUGUAAAUAACCAUAUUGUUUCAGUUUGUAAAUAUUUGCUUCUAGUUUGUAAAUAUUUAGUUUUUGAUGCUUGUAUAAUUUGUUUUAGGUUGUAGACUAGACUUUGUUUUUUUUAGAACUUAAGGUUGCGUAUAAAAAUGUG